This 253-nucleotide ribosomal RNA is filed under the name uncultured bacterium. RNAcentral's name for it is "partial 16S ribosomal RNA". It matches the Rfam family "Bacterial small subunit ribosomal RNA", at positions 524 to 776 of the family's 1533-position model. The record is from RNAcentral.
UACAUGGGGUGCAAACGUUGCUCGGAAUUAUUGGGCGUAAAGCGCGCGUAGGCGGUUACUUAAGUCGGAUGUGAAAGCCCUCGGCUUAACUGAGGAAGUGCACCCGAAACUGAGUAGCUAGAGUACGAAAGAGGGUCGCGGAAUUCCCGGUGUAGAGGUGAAAUUCGUAGAUAUCGGAAAGAAUGUCAGUGGCGAAGGCGAUUGCCUGGCUCAAUACUGACGCUGAGGCGCGAGAGCGUGGGGAGCAAACAGG